GUCUCAGUAGCUCAGCUGGAUAGAGCGACAGCCUCCUAAGCUGUAGGUCGUGAGUUCGAAUCUCGCCUGGGACGUCA
RNAcentral lists this transfer RNA (77 nucleotides) under Cytobacillus oceanisediminis. Its description in RNAcentral is "Bacillus oceanisediminis tRNA-Arg". It matches the Rfam family "tRNA". Rfam says of the family: Transfer RNA (tRNA) molecules are approximately 80 nucleotides in length. The record is from RNAcentral. Lineage: Bacteria; Bacillati; Bacillota; Bacilli; Caryophanales; Bacillaceae.